GCGGGCGCGCCGACGUCGGAGAGUCGGAUCUGGCUGUAAACCAGGUGCUCACGCUGAGGGGGUUCGAAUCCCUCCGCCCGCA
RNAcentral lists this transfer RNA (82 nucleotides) under Actinoplanes digitatis. RNAcentral's name for it is "Amorphoplanes digitatis tRNA-Tyr". It matches the Rfam family "tRNA". Rfam says of the family: Transfer RNA (tRNA) molecules are approximately 80 nucleotides in length. Their secondary structure includes four short double-helical elements and three loops (D, anti-codon, and T loops). The record is from RNAcentral. Lineage: Bacteria; Bacillati; Actinomycetota; Actinomycetes; Micromonosporales; Micromonosporaceae.